CAGGUAGGACUACCCGCUGAACUUAAGCAUAUAAUAAA
Molecule: ribosomal RNA, 38 nt
Filed under: Rhizopogon roseolus
Lineage: Eukaryota; Fungi; Basidiomycota; Agaricomycetes; Boletales; Rhizopogonaceae
Description: partial 18S ribosomal RNA
Source: RNAcentral